AUACUGUGGGGACGAAAGUCUCUGCUUUUAACUAGAUAGCAACUUUCAGCAGUGGAUGUCUAGGCUCGCACAUCGAUGAAGAACGCUGCGAACUGCGAUACGUAAUGCGAAUUGCAGGAUUCAGUGAGUCAUCGAAAUUUUGAACGCAUAUUGCACUUCCGGGUUAGUCCUGGAAGUAUGCCUGUAUCAGUGUCCGUACAUUAAACUUGACUUUCUUCCUUCCGUGUAGUCGGUGGAGGAGAUGUCAGAUGUGAAGUGUCUUGCGAUUGGUCUUCGGACCGGCUGCGAGUCCUUUUAAAUGUACUAAACUGAACUUCUCUUUGCUCGAAAAGUGGUGG
This is a ribosomal RNA of 338 nucleotides. The stretch from base 41 to 195 matches the Rfam family "5.8S ribosomal RNA".